This 513-nucleotide ribosomal RNA is filed under the name uncultured bacterium. RNAcentral's name for it is "partial 16S ribosomal RNA". It matches the Rfam family "Bacterial small subunit ribosomal RNA", at positions 28 to 523 of the family's 1533-position model. The record is from RNAcentral.
GAUGAACGCUGGCGGCGUGCCUAAUACAUGCAAGUCGAGCGAACAGAUAAGGAGCUUGCUCCUUUGAAGUUAGCGGCGGACGGGUGAGUAACACGUGGGUAACCUACCUAUAAGACUGGGAUAACUUCGGGAAACCGGAGCUAAUACCGGAUAACAUUUAGAACCGCAUGGUUCUAAAGUGAAAGAUGGUUUUGCUAUCACUUAUAGAUGGACCCGCGCCGUAUUAGCUAGUUGGUAAGGUAACGGCUUACCAAGGCGACGAUACGUAGCCGACCUGAGAGGGUGAUCGGCCACACUGGAAAUGAGACACGGUCCAGACUCCUACGGGAGGCAGCAGUAGGGAAUCUUCCGCAAUGGGCGAAAGCCUGACGGAGCAACGCCGCGUGAGUGAUGAAGGGUUUCGGCUCGUAAAACUCUGUUAUUAGGGAAGAACAAAUGUGUAAGUAACUGUGCACAUCUUGACGGUACCUAAUCAGAAAGCCACGGCUAACUACGUGCCAGCAGCCGCUGUAA